RNAcentral lists this transfer RNA (83 nucleotides) under Schistocephalus solidus. It matches the Rfam family "tRNA". Rfam says of the family: Transfer RNA (tRNA) molecules are approximately 80 nucleotides in length. Lineage: Eukaryota; Metazoa; Platyhelminthes; Cestoda; Diphyllobothriidea; Diphyllobothriidae. The record is from Rfam by way of RNAcentral.
GGCCUAGUAGCUCAGUUGGCUAGAGCCUUGGCUGUGCUAAAGCCUUCCCCUUGCUGGCGUGGGUUCAUAUCCCACCGAGGCUG